Molecule: long non-coding RNA, 530 nt
Filed under: Phoenix dactylifera (date palm)
Lineage: Eukaryota; Viridiplantae; Streptophyta; Magnoliopsida; Arecales; Arecaceae
Description: long non-coding RNA (PDAC_LNC021616)
Source: RNAcentral
CUGUUUUUACUUUGCCGUUAUUAUCUAAUAUACCUCAUCCACAACCCAUGCAGCAAGAAACCCAGUCAAACCCUACUACAUUAACAAUAAUACCCAGACCGACCCCUCAGAAUACUACACCUCCAGAUAUUGAAAAUCCUCAUGAUUCUGCGGAGACAACUUGCAUGCCGCACUUUGAGGAAUUUCAAACCCAACUUACCCAUCCCGAGACAGAAGCCAGACCCAGUCACAUCACAUCCUUGAGCCAAGUGAUCCGCCUGCUGCUAGUUCACCUCCCUUAACAAUAACUCCAGCCAAUGAACCAAGAGAAAUUGUAACCCGGUCCAAAACUGGAAACCUGAAACCCAAACAAUUCCCUGGUUUCAUGACCUUUUACUCCACGCGUCAUCCACUCAAAGUGUUGUCCAGUGUACUGCAAGAAACUGAACCUCAUUGCUAUACACAAGCAGUGACAAACCCGAAAUGGCGAGCUGCAAUGGGACGCGAAUUCGAUGCUUUGAUGGCGAAUGGGACUUGGUCUCUAUGUCCAA